UACGUAGGGAGCGAGCGUUGUCCGGAAUUACUGGGUGUAAAGGGAGCGUAGGCGGGAAAUUAAGUCAGACGUGAAAUCUACGGGCUCAACCCAUAGCGUGCGUUUGAAACUAAUUUUCUUGAGUGGAGUAGAGGCAAGCGGAAUUCCUAGUGUAGCGGUGGAAUGCGUAGAUAUUAGGAGGAACACCAGUGGCGAAGGCGGCUUGCUGGGCUUUUACUGACGCUGAUGCUCGAAAGCGUGGGGAGCAAAC
Molecule: ribosomal RNA, 250 nt
Filed under: uncultured bacterium
Lineage: Bacteria
Description: partial 16S ribosomal RNA
Rfam family: Bacterial small subunit ribosomal RNA
Source: RNAcentral